UACGUAGGGGGCUAGCGUUGUCCGGAAUCAUUGGGCGUAAAGCGCGUGUAGGCGGCUUGGUAAGUCCGUUCUGAAAGCCCGGGGCUCAACCCCGGGAGGCGGAUGGAUACUGUCAAGCUCGAGUCCGGAAGAGGCAAGUGGAAUUCCCGGUGUAGCGGUGAAAUGCGCAGAUAUCGGGAGGAACGCCAAAGGUGAAAACAGGUUGCUGGGGUUGUGCCGACGCUGAGACACGAAAGCCAGGGGAGCAAACGGG
Molecule: ribosomal RNA, 253 nt
Filed under: uncultured bacterium
Lineage: Bacteria
Description: partial 16S ribosomal RNA
Rfam family: Bacterial small subunit ribosomal RNA
Source: RNAcentral